This 406-nucleotide ribosomal RNA is filed under the name uncultured bacterium. RNAcentral describes it as "partial 16S ribosomal RNA". It matches the Rfam family "Bacterial small subunit ribosomal RNA", at positions 28 to 526 of the family's 1533-position model. The record is from RNAcentral.
GAUGAACGCUAGCUACAGGCUUAACACAUGCAAGUCGAGGGACCGGCGCACGGGUGAGUAACACGUAUCCAACCUGCCCUUUACUCGGGGAUAGCCUUUCGAAAGAAAGAUUAAUACCCGAUGUAAAGGAUGGGGAUGCGUUCCAUUAGGUUGUUGGUGAGGUAACGGCUAACCAAGCCUUCGAUGGAUAGGGGUUCGGAGAGGAAGGUCCACCAAAUUGGAAAGGAGACACAGUCCAAACUCCUACGCGAGGCAGCAGUGAGGAAUAUUGGUCAAUGGGCGUUAGCCUGAACCAGCCAAGUAGCUUGAAGGAGGAAGGCUUAUGGGUCGUAAACUUCUUGUAUAUAAGAAUAGGUAUUAUAGGAAUAAGGAUCGGCUAACUCCGUGCCAGCCGCCGCGGUAAUUC